Mastomys coucha (southern multimammate mouse) is the source of this 3187-nucleotide long non-coding RNA. RefSeq lists it as uncharacterized. The transcript is spliced from 3 exons. The record is from RefSeq and is a predicted model, not a curated record. Lineage: Eukaryota; Metazoa; Chordata; Mammalia; Rodentia; Muridae.
UGGGUUGUAUUGAAAAGCAAACUGAGCAAGUCAGUAAGUAGUGUGUCUCCUCGCCUUCUGUUUCCGUUUCUGCCUAGAGUUCCCUUUCAUGAUAGAUUACCACUGUAAGCUGAAACGAACCCUUUCCAAGUUUCUGUUGGUUAUGGUGUUUAUCACAGCAAGAAAAGCAAACUAGAACAGUUAUAGCGGCAGGAGGAGAAUUAAAAUACAAAGUGCAGGGAAACAGGCCAGCAGGGAGGGCUGGGAGAAAAGAAAGGUCCCGAUUCCUGGAUAAACAUGAUGCUCAUUACCAGCCUUCAUCUUAUCUCUUGAAAUGAUAGGCCUUUGGUAAGACUGUCUUCACACCUGCCAGGGUGGGAUCUCCAGUAGAAGAUCAGUAGCACAGAAAGCAUACUUGUCCUACUUCCCGGUGGUUUGCCUGAAAUGGUAAGAUAGUUUAGAAGUCUUGGUGCAUAAACAUGUAACCUUUGUUCCAUGGGAAGACUCCAUGGGGAGACUUUGCUACACAGGACUUCUGAAGAUGUCUAUUCUUACGCCAUGCUGUCUGUGAAGCCAAGGAGAGCCUGGCAGGGAACUCCAUUGUAGUUUACCUCCUCUUUAUUUCCUGCCUCAACUUUUUCCCCUUCACUUGCUUUCAUAAGACUGUACAACUCACAGUGUAUUAGCAUAUAAACUAUCUGUUCAAGUCUCUGAUUCUAGGCAAAGGCACUUUUCCAAGAAAAUAUAGCAGUUACAUUCCCAACCCAAUCAUUAUUACACAUCCCUUGUGGAAGGUUCCAAAUUAUUGGCUUCCUGGCAUGGUGCCUAUGAAAUGUUCUCGGAAAACCUGCUAAACCCGAAUCUAAUCAAACCUUUACACUUCAUUUGAAGGGUGAUACUACUUAGACAUAACACUGGAAAGCAACAGAUAAGUCAGGAAUAUGCAGCCUUCUUUUCCGUGCCAUAUGUCAAAAACAUAGAAGAAUUAUGGGGGGAGAUUUUUCCAGAUUAACCUCCAACUGGAAUCCUCAGAACUUGGUUGCAUUAUAGAUGAAUGUUCCAUUAAAAUCUUUAGAAAACCAUUAUAAAAAUUUUAAAAUGACUUAGAGAGACUGGUAAGAUGGCUCAGAGGGUAGAGGAGCUUGCCACCGUGCCUGAGAACCUAAGCUGGAUUUCUGAAACCUACACAUUGGGAAAAAACGGACUUCUUUGGAUUGUCAUCUUCACAUGCACUAUGGCACAAGUGCCAUGCACACACACAGAUAAAUGUAAUUUUUAGUGACUUGUGUAUUAGUUGUGGUUACUAAUAGAAUAAUUGCUGAGUUCCUUUGAUGUGAUAGUAGUAUAUCAUUCUGCAAAAGAUUGCCUUUAUCAGGUGGUUCAUACUGAAGGGUUUGAGCAAUCAUUAUGCUUUCUCUACUAUAUAUUCUCAAAAAAUAUUUAUAUCUUUGUGUUUAUGGAAGAAAAAAAGAAUUUACAUUUUGUAAAAUAUUGGCAUUAUUGAAUGUAAGUUGAAGGCAUUUAUAUUCCAGUCUGUUGACACCUAAGUGCUUAAAACUUUUCAUAGUCAAAAGUAAUAAGGCAAAUGCCAUGGGAAAAGUGGGUCAAAGUUAGGAUAUACCCCUGUAAGAAAUGUGUUAAGCAUCUUCUUUUCUUCAGCCAGUGUCGUGUUAGCAGCCAAUAUGUGAUCAAAGGCUAGCUUAUGUACCUCAAAGUGGAUAUUCAAACCCAAAUUGCUAUCCUCUCAAGAUUCUUUUACCUUUCCUAUCUCUGGAAGUUAGCCAGGUAGCGGGGAAAAAUCAGUGUCAUUUCUGCACAUACAAAUUCUUGUUGGCAGAAUAGUCAGCAAGUAGUUCAGAGAGUUAUUUCUCAUAUAAAGCUUCAUUCAGUUUGCAGAAGUUGGAGGCAGUGAAGCUUUUUAGAGAAAUUAUUCUUUAGAGAUAGAUUUCAGUUGAUGGUGCAGCCUCUUAGUGACAGACAUGGAUUAAGUAAUAUUCUUAAAUGCACUUCUUUCAGGCUUCUGAUGUUAGCACUACAGUUUUAUUCAAUGUGUAAACUUCCCCAACCUGGUUUGUUAAUUUUUUAUUUUGACCUGGUUUUCUAUCAUUUACCUGGCCUCAAUCCCCAAGAUUCCUCCAGGCAAAUAUACUCCUGCUUUGUCAGUGAACAUUUGACUGACCAAUCUGGAUUCUUCCCCUAUCACACAUGGAAAGCCUGCUGUUACAGUUAUGAAACCAGCCUGGCUAUCUAUGCUCUCAACACCAAACGAUCUUCUCCCAGAAUUGUUUCUGUUUGUGUUGGGAGCAGCUUCCCUCAUGGCUGUUAGUGCUUAUAGUUCACAAAUGUUCAUUCUUCCCAGGUAUAAUAACCUUGUAAUCAGAGGCUGAGCUCAUGGAAAGCAGCCUCCAAAUCUUAGUGGCUUAUUUAAAAAAAAAAAAAAGAUACUCAGUAGUCCCAUGUCAGCAGAAGCAGCACUGCUCCAGGCUAUGGACCAAUUUUGAGUUGUCUCAUUUACCUCUGAUUGUCUCCACCAAUGGCUACCCAACUGAGAUUCAACUCAUGAAGGAUGGCAGGAGUGCCAGUGGCAAGCAGAAACAAAAUCCUUGGAUCACAUCAAGGUCUUAGCUCAAAACUGACCUGCUAUCACUUCUGCUCACGUUCCAUGGGCCAGAGCCCAACAUCAGCAAGCAACCCAGCCUCUUCUGACUAGUAUGGAGGUCGGUGACUGUCUUAUAAGCCGAGGUUGUGACCCUCCUCGUUCCCCCGAAUAACGUGACCUGCAGGCCAGGUCAAUGAUAUUUGUCUUCUGUCCUGUGCUCCUGACUGACUAACUGAUGCGACAUAAUAGAGACUGGAAUGAACUCCAGGGCACAUCCUAAUUUCUCCUAACUGCAUCAGCCAUGAUGGGACAGUCAACUUCAAGUUAAGUUGAAGACUUGUGAGGACAAGAACAACUCAGAACAUGCCCUUUCAAAAGUUCACCAGUGUGUGUUAGUGUACUACUCUAUUUUCUGUUGCUACCACAAGGUACUUGAUGCUGAGUACAUUAUAACGCAGUUUAUUUGGCCCAUAAUUUUAGCAGCUGAAUCGUUCUAAACAGCAUUGUGCCAAGUUCUACUGAAUAUUACUUGGCUGCAUCACAGCAUGGCAGAGAACCUGAAAGCGAAUCAGCCAUGUGUAGAAGGAAUAAAGUGCUUUGUGAAUGUGA